GACGAACGCUGGCGGCGUGCUAACACAUGCAAGUCGAACGGAAAGGCCCUGCUUUUGUGGGGUGCUCGAGUGGCGAACGGGUGAGUAACACGUGAGUAACCUGCCCUUGACUUUGGGAUAACUUCAGGAAACUGGGGCUAAUACCGGAUAGGAGCUCCUGCUGCAUGGUGGGGGUUGGAAAGUUUCGGCGGUUGGGGAUGGACUCGCGGCUUAUCAGCUUGUUGGUGGGGUAGUGGCUUACCAAGGCUUUGACGGGUAGCCGGCCUGAGAGGGUGACCGGCCACAUUGGGACUGAGAUACGGCCCAGACUCCUACGGGAGGCAGCAGUGGGGAAUAUUGCACAAUGGGCGGAAGCCUGAUGCAGCAACGCCGCGUGCGGGAUGACGGCCUUCGGGUUGUAAACCGCUUUCGCCUGUGACGAAGCGUGAGUGACGGUAAUGGGUAAAGAAGCACCGGCUAACUACGUGCCAGCAGCCGCGGUGAUACGUAGGGUGCGAGCGUUGUCCGGAUUUAUUGGGCGUAAAGGGCUCGUAGGUGGUUGAUCGCGUCGGAAGUGUAAUCUUGGGGCUUAACCCUGAGCGUGCUUUCGAUACGGGUUGACUUGAGGAAGGUAGGGGAGAAUGGAAUUCCUGGUGGAGCGGUGGAAUGCGCAGAUAUCAGGAGGAACACCAGUGGCGAAGGCGGUUCUCUGGGCCUUUCCUGACGCUGAGGAGCGAAAGCGUGGGGAGCGAACAGGCUUAGAUACCCCGGUAGUCCACGCUGUAAACGGUGGGUACUAGGUGUGGGGUCCAUUCCACGGGUUCCGUGCCGUAGCUAACGCUUUAAGUACCCCGCCUGGGGAGUACGGCCGCAAGGCUAAAACUCAAAGGAAUUGACGGGGCCCCGCACAAGCGGCGGAGCAUGCGGAUUAAUUCGAUGCAACGCGUAGAACCUUACCUGGGUUUGACAUGGAUCGGGAGUGCUCAGAGAUGGGUGUGCCUCUUUUGGGGUCGGUUCACAGGUGGUGCAUGGCUGUCGUCAGCUCGUGUCGUGAGAUGUUGGGUUAAGUCCCGCAACGAGCGCAACCCUUGUUCACUGUUGCCAGCACGUUAUGGUGGGGACUCAGUGGAGACCGCCGGGGUCAACUCGGAGGAAGGUGGGGAUGACGUCAAGUCAUCAUGCCCCUUAUGUCCAGGGCUUCACGCAUGCUACAAUGGCUGGUACAGAGAGUGGCGAGCCUGUGAGGGUGAGCGAAUCUCGGAAAGCCGGUCUCAGUUCGGAUUGGGGUCUGCAACUCGACCUCAUGAAGUCGGAGUCGCUAGUAAUCGCAGAUCAGCAACGCUGCGGUGAAUACGUUCCCGGGGCU
This 1345-nucleotide ribosomal RNA is filed under the name uncultured bacterium. Its description in RNAcentral is "partial 16S ribosomal RNA". It matches the Rfam family "Bacterial small subunit ribosomal RNA", at positions 28 to 1381 of the family's 1533-position model. The record is from RNAcentral.